RNAcentral lists this ribosomal RNA (384 nucleotides) under uncultured bacterium. RNAcentral describes it as "bacterial SSU rRNA". It matches the Rfam family "Bacterial small subunit ribosomal RNA", at positions 30 to 414 of the family's 1533-position model. The record is from RNAcentral.
AUUGAACGCUGGCGGCAUGCCUUACACAUGCAAGUCGAACGGCAGCACGGGAGCAAUCCUGGUGGCGUGUGGCGGACGGGUGAGUAAUAUAUCGGAACGUGCCCAGUCGUGGGGAUAACGUAGCGAAAGCUACGCUAAUACCGCAUACGAUCUAUGGAUGAAAGCGGGGGAUCGCAAGACCUCGCGCGAUUGGAGCGGCCGAUAUCAGAUUAGGUAGUUGGUGAGGUAAAGGCUCACCAAGCCGACGAUCUGUAGCUGGUCUGAGAGGACGACCAGCCACACUGGGACUGAGACACGGCCCAGACUCCUACGGGAGGCAGCAGUGGGGAAUUUUUGGACAAUGGGCGCAAGCCUGAUCCAGCAAUGCCGCGUGCAGGAUGAAGG